RNAcentral lists this long non-coding RNA (769 nucleotides) under Helianthus annuus (common sunflower). Its description in RNAcentral is "hypothetical non coding rna". Lineage: Eukaryota; Viridiplantae; Streptophyta; Magnoliopsida; Asterales; Asteraceae. The record is from RNAcentral.
GUAGGGGUGAGCAUAAAUAGGGUCGGACCGAAAAAAACCGAGAACCUACCCGAUUAAUAACCGAACCUGACCCGAGAUAUAGCAUAUAGGGUAGUAGUCGGUUCCAAUAUAUUUUAUGAAUCGGGUAUCGGGUCGGUUCCGGUACACAAAAAGUAAAACCUGAGUUCAAGUUACCUGGACCGAUUUGUACCCAACUGGGCUUUGGCCUGGGUUGGUGGAAGGCUGCAUCUUCAAAAUACCCUGUAUUAGCGAAAAUGGCGAAAUAUAUGUUUACUAAUUAGUAGUUUAUUUUUAUUACUUAUAAUAAUACGAUAGUGUUAAUUAGAUUUUCUUUCUAUCACUAUAGACAUAUUGGCUAUCCCAGUAUCCAGUGUUGCUUCUGAGGAGGCGUUUAGUACAGGCAGAAGAGUUGUCGAUACUUAUCGAACUUCUUUAUCAACUCCGAUUGUCGAGGCAUUAAUUUGUACAGAGGAUUGGAUUCGUGCUUCAAUUAAAAAGAAAAUCUACAUCGAAGAUUCGUCAGAGUUCGAUGACAUUGGAAAAGAAAUUUAUGAUAAAGUGGAACCGGAUCACAUAAAAAUCGAUGUCGAUUAACGGAUGGCUGGAGAUGGAUACGGAAAAAAGGAGAAAGGAGUUAAAGUAGUAUCGGUUUCAGUUCGUUUGCUUUGGAUUUGUUGGAUUUCGUUUGAAUUUCUUACAUUUGUUUUGGAUUAUGUUUGAAGUUCUUAAUACUUUUUGAAUUUUUGGAUGUUUAACUUAUGAAUUUUGG